This 330-nucleotide ribosomal RNA is filed under the name uncultured Fusibacter sp. RNAcentral's name for it is "bacterial SSU rRNA". It matches the Rfam family "Bacterial small subunit ribosomal RNA", at positions 1055 to 1382 of the family's 1533-position model. The record is from RNAcentral. Lineage: Bacteria; Bacillati; Bacillota; Clostridia; Eubacteriales; Fusibacteraceae.
UCAGCUCGUGUCGUGAGAUGGUUGGGUUAAGUCCCGCAACGAGCGCAACCCUUGUGUUAGUUGCAAACAGGUCAAGCUGUGCACUCUAGACAGACUGCCGUGGACAAUACGGAGGAAGGUGGGGAUGACGGUCAAAUCAUCAUGCCCCCUUAUGAUCUGGGCUACACACGUGCUACAAUGGCCGGUACAACGGGCAGCGAAGGAGCGAUCCGGAGCGAAUCCUAAAAAGCCGGUCCCAGUUCGGAUUGCAGGCUGAAACUCGCCUACAUGAAGUUGGAGUUGCUAGUAAUCGCGAAUCAGAAUGUCGCGGUGAAUGCGUUCCCGGGUCUU